Non-coding RNA from Pelobates cultripes (western spadefoot toad), 328 nucleotides. Lineage: Eukaryota; Metazoa; Chordata; Amphibia; Anura; Pelobatidae. The record is from the annotation of a GenBank genome assembly.
CUUUAAUGUGAGGUAAAUUAGAGCUUAGUGCCACGAAUAAUAUACUAGAUUGCCUACUUACAACCAGAUGAGGAUGAUGAUGGGCUCUAGCUGCAGUCUGGCUCCACUGGUCUGGUGCAGAACAGGCUCUCUGGAGGCAGUUUGUAACUGUGGUCACAAAAAUCAAUGUUCUGGGAGAACGGGAAGCAGCUCCAUUUUUUGGGGGUCCUUUACACAGCUCAAGGUCUGGGUCCCAGGGUCCACCUUCAUGUUCCACCAAUGAGUUUGUUCACAGGGGGUGGAGUGUGUAAGGGAUGUCCUGAUAUGUGUGUAAGGAAUGCAUUGUGUG